GUUUGGCAACGUGAUUUACUCAGCUGAGGCCUGUGCAGGCAGCAGCACAAGGCAGGGUCACGGCAAGGCACGGGACCGGUGCGGGCAGAGACCGGCAGGGAAGGCCAUGGCUGCGAGGGCUGCCGGGACCCCCGCACCACGGCCAGACCGCACCAGGGUGAAGGGAGAUGAAGGAUGCACGUGGGGGGCAAGAUGGGGAGCUGUGUGCUCCCUGCCCACCCUGCCUGCCCCUUCACCGUGCCCCUAUCCCCACCUGCCCCGAAUGGACCCCCUGCUCCAGCCCUGGCCCCUACACAGCCCUGCUUGUGCCCCUCAUUCUGGGCUCUGUCAGACCCUGCUCCCAGCUCACCAUGCCUCCAGCCCUCCCCCAGUGUGCAGCAGACAUAGCCAGGCUGCGUGUUCCCUGAUCCCCUUUCUUGGGGAUACUGCUGCAGAUGUCCCCAAGGCACAGGGAUGAGGGGGACACAGCCCAUUGCCAGGGCCGAGAGCAGGCUGGGUCCUUUCAGGGCACCACGUCACCCUGCCCAGGCAAGCUGGGGGAUGGCCAGUCACCCAGAAGGGGGACAGGCCACAGGGUGCCCACCUUGCCUCGAAACCAGGGUAGUGAAGUGGGCUAGGAGUUGCCGCUCUGCAAGCGCGUGGUCCAGCCAGCAGCUCCCAGCCAAGGCACCCUGGCAGUGGGGUGAGGGCUCAGCCCCUACACCCCUGCUCCAUCCUCUGCAGCAGGCCAGCAGCCCCAGCGCUCCACAGUCUUCCUGGGGGCAGAGGAGCCGAGCCCCAGCCACCCCGUCCCCGUGCUGCUCCAGCGGGUGCCAGGGCUAUAGCCAGAGAGAGAAGGCACCACGGCUGCCCUGCGGCACUUGGGUGGAGGGGUCCUCCCCAGCCAUGGGGGUUUGGCAGGGGGGGCUUGGCGGAGACAGAGGGCAGGGGGGCACCCAGCAGUGCCACAUCCCUGCUCUGGGGAUGGCAGGGCCAGCUGAUGCCCAGUGGGGGGGUCCCUUCUGCGGCGGGAGGGGACGUGGGGCACCAUCACGCUGUCAGGUUGUGUGCAGACUUGGAGGCACCCUGGGCCCUCUGGA
RNAcentral lists this long non-coding RNA (1079 nucleotides) under Strigops habroptila (Kakapo). Its description in RNAcentral is "lncRNA (ENSSHBG00005020910.1)". Lineage: Eukaryota; Metazoa; Chordata; Aves; Psittaciformes; Psittacidae. The record is from RNAcentral.